Long non-coding RNA from Cyprinus carpio (common carp), 754 nucleotides. NCBI's taxonomy places the organism in Eukaryota, Metazoa, Chordata, Actinopteri, Cypriniformes, Cyprinidae. The record is from Ensembl.
GAAACGUGUGUUGGGGAGGAUUCAAUGUCUGUUGAGAACCAUGUGAAUGUGCUACAAAGUGAGUAUCAGAAAACACCUCCAGACACCUGGACUGUCAAAGACCACACGGCAGGAACAUUCUCCUGGAGAUGCUGAGAAAGCACGGAAGGAAUGUCUGUGGAGGAUGUACUCAAAAAACACCCAUACUUAAGGACACCUGCUGGAGGGGACCCCUACUACACCCUUUCUUACCAUACAACUGAUGGAUACUGACUGGAAAAUGGCUAUCAUAGGCGGAGGGUUCAGUGUGGUGACAGAAGAUGGAAUAGACGUGUGCCAGUGCACCAGCCUUGGUGAAGCCUCUAUAACAGCCUUCUGUAUGGUUGACUGGAAGUAUGUCAGUCCAGAUGUGAGGAAGACAUACAGAGUGGAGUUGGAUGGCUGUGGAGUCAGCAGGUGUGAUGGCUGUGGAUGCAUCUACAAAAACACCACUGGAUACUGUAGCCAUGGAAAGAAGGGGGUAUUCACAACUUUCUAUUCAGACAAAGAGUUUGCUGGAUUCUGUUCUAUGGACUGCUACUACUGAAUGAAUGAAUGAGUGGUUUGUUUAUCUAUCUAUCUAUCUAUCUAUCUAUCUAUCUAUCUAAAUAUAUAUAUANNNNNNNNNNNNNNNNNNNNNNNNNNNNNNNNNNNUAUCUUUUUUUUUUUUACUUGAAUUGGGGACUGAAACUGAAAGCUAAAUAAAUGUUUUAGUGGAUAAAGCUGUGUCUGUUUG